RNAcentral lists this ribosomal RNA (355 nucleotides) under uncultured bacterium. RNAcentral's name for it is "bacterial SSU rRNA". It matches the Rfam family "Bacterial small subunit ribosomal RNA", at positions 527 to 881 of the family's 1533-position model. The record is from RNAcentral.
GUAUGGUGCAAGCGUUAUCCGGAUUUACUGGGUGUAAAGGGAGCGUAGACGGAGUGGCAAGUCUGAUGUGAAAACCCGGGGCUCAACCCCGGGACUGCAUUGGAAACUGUCAAUCUGGAGUACCGGAGAGGUAAGCGGAAUUCCUAGUGUAGCGGUGAAAUGCGUAGAUAUUAGGAGGAACACCAGUGGCGAAGGCGGCUUACUGGACGGUAACUGACGUUGAGGCUCGAAAGCGUGGGGAGCAAACAGGAUUAGAUACCCUGGUGGCCCACGCCGUAAACGAUGACUACUAGGUGUCGGGCAGCAAAGCUGUUCGGUGCCGCAGCAAACGCAAUAAGUAGUCCACCUGGGGAGU